CCUACGGGAGGCAGCAGUGGGGAAUAUUGCACAAUGGGGGUAACCCUGAUGCAGCGACGUCGCGUGAGUGAAGAAGUAUCUCUGUACGUAAAGCCCUUUCAGCAGGGAAGAAAAUGACGGUACCUGACUAAGUAGCCCCGUCUAACUACGUUCCAGCAGCCCCGGUACUACGGAGGGGGCAAGCGUUAUCCGGAUUUACUGGGCGUAAAGGGGGCGUAGACGGCAGCGUAAGUCUGCAGUGAAAUCGCAUGGCUCAACCAUGGAACUGCUUUGGAAACUGUGCAGCUAGAGUGCUGGAGAGGCAAGCGGAAUUCCUAGUGUAGCGGUGAAAUGCGUAGAUAUUAGGAGGAACACCAGUGGCGAAGGCGGCUUACUGGACUGUAACUGACGUUGAGGCUCGAAAGCGUGGGGAGCGAACAGGAUUAGAUACCCUAGUAGUC
RNAcentral lists this ribosomal RNA (440 nucleotides) under uncultured bacterium. RNAcentral describes it as "partial 16S ribosomal RNA". It matches the Rfam family "Bacterial small subunit ribosomal RNA", at positions 338 to 795 of the family's 1533-position model. The record is from RNAcentral.